Molecule: transfer RNA, 70 nt
Filed under: Notopterus notopterus (bronze featherback)
Lineage: Eukaryota; Metazoa; Chordata; Actinopteri; Osteoglossiformes; Notopteridae
Also listed under: 3 other names
Description: tRNA-His
Rfam family: tRNA
About the family: Transfer RNA (tRNA) molecules are approximately 80 nucleotides in length. Their secondary structure includes four short double-helical elements and three loops (D, anti-codon, and T loops).
Source: RNAcentral
GUAAAUAUAGUUUUAAUAAAAAUGCUAGAUUGUGAUUCUAGAGAUAGAAGUUAAAAUCUUCUUACUUACC